Molecule: long non-coding RNA, 288 nt
Filed under: Gallus gallus (chicken)
Lineage: Eukaryota; Metazoa; Chordata; Aves; Galliformes; Phasianidae
Source: RNAcentral
CAGGUGGGCUCUGUGCCUCGUGGCGGGACAGGAACUGGUUGAGGUCGCCGUUCUCCAUGUACUCAGUGAUCAUGCACAGCGGGUCGUCCGUGAUGCACACCGCCAGCAGCCGGAUGAUGUUGGGGUCCUUGAGCCGUGACAUGAUCUUGAUUUCCUUCAGGAAAUCAUUCCUGGCAUUCUUGUUGGCAUCGGCCCGCAGCAUCUUCACAGCCACUAGAACGGGGCAGUUGGGGCUGGCAUCCAAGCCCUCCAGGGUGAACUCCUUGUCCGCGAACUUCUCCAUCCCCU